GUUGGUGAACCAGCGGAGGGAUCAUUACCGAAGUUACCUUCAAAACCCACUGUGAACCUUACCUCUUGCCGCGUUGUCUCGGCGGGAGGCGGUGUGCGUCGCGCGCCCUAGCGGGCCGCGCCGCUCCCGUCCCCGCCGGCAGCGCCAAACUCUAAAUGCACAGCGGACUGUACGUUCUGAUUUACAAAAAAAACAAGUUAAAACUUUCAACAACGGAUCUCUUGGUUCUG
This 230-nucleotide unclassified non-coding RNA is filed under the name rhizosphere metagenome. RNAcentral's name for it is "partial ribosomal RNA internal transcribed spacer region". The record is from RNAcentral.